UACGUAGGGUGCAAGCGUUAAUCGGAAUUACUGGGCGUAAAGCGUGCGCAGGCGGUUGUGCAAGACCGCUGUGAAAUCCCCGGGCUUAACCUGGGAAUGGCAUUGGUGACUGCACGGCUAGAGUGUGUCAGAGGGGGGUAGAAUUCCACGUGUAGCAGUGAAAUGCGUAGAUAUGUGGAGGAACACCGAUGGCGAAGGCAGCCCCCUGGGAUAACACUGACGCUCAUGCACGAAAGCGUGGGGAGCAAACAGG
This 253-nucleotide ribosomal RNA is filed under the name uncultured bacterium. RNAcentral's name for it is "partial 16S ribosomal RNA". It matches the Rfam family "Bacterial small subunit ribosomal RNA", at positions 524 to 776 of the family's 1533-position model. The record is from RNAcentral.